Molecule: long non-coding RNA, 1874 nt
Filed under: Homo sapiens (human)
Lineage: Eukaryota; Metazoa; Chordata; Mammalia; Primates; Hominidae
Description: HSALNT0002686
Source: RNAcentral
AGGAGGAAGAGCAAGCUCCAUAACAGACAGAAGUUUAAAUUGUCAUUCCCAACUGCUAAUCAGGAAGCGGAAGUUAAACUCUUAGCAAAAUGGCAGCACCUGGAAAGACAAAUGGAGCCAAACUACCUGGGUUCAAAUCCUGACUCCACCACACGCUACGGUUACCAAUGAUCCUGAUCUGCCCAAGGCUGAGGAGUUUCCCAGGAUAUGGGACUUUCACUGCUAAAACCAGGAUAGUCCCAUGCAAAGCAGCAUGGCUGAUCACCCUACUUGCUGCCAUGAGACUACCACCAUCCUCGAGGAUGAUAGAUCCCAAGGAGAGAGUGACCCAGUCAACAUCCAGCCCCAUCAGCAUGUGACUUAUCCAGCCCCAGUCCAGUCACCAGAUAAUAGCAAAUGCAUGAGUUAAUUCAGGUGAGACCAUCAGAACGAUCUAGCUGAACUUGUCUCAAAUUGCUGUCCUCUGUUGGAGUUUUUCUGCACAUAAAAAAUAAAAUUGCUGUCCUACAUAACUGUAAACAAGCAAAAUGGUUGUUUUUAUAAACCACCUAGUUUUGGAGUUGUUUGUUAUAUAGCAGUAGAUAACUGUUACAAUACUGCAACCCUUUAACUACAGGGAAUUAUGCUUAAAACCUAAGGAGUAGACUCCAAUUUUAAGACAAUAAAGCCCAGCCCUCCCUCACCACUUGUUCAUUUCUUAGACUCAAAGAAUAUUGGUUGAGUGCUUACUGUGUACUAGGAACUGUAUCAUGGGCUUAGCAUCCACUACUGAACAAGACAGGUAAGUACUCUGCCCUCAAAAAUCUUAUCCAGUUUGGGAUACAGAUAUUAAAUGAAUAAUUAUAAGUUACGGGGUGCUUUAAAAAUAAAUGGGACUGAAUAGAAGUGAAGGAGUGUAAAAAAAGCAAGUCUUUUUUAAAAAAGAAGUGGCAUUUAAACUCAGUUCUGAAGUAGGAGUUAUCCAGGUGAAAAUUGGGCUGAAGUGUGUUCCAGGCAGAGAGAGCAGCAUAUGGGAAAGCUGUGGACUAGGAAGGCUCUUGAUGAGGAGGGACAAAGUAGCUGGAGUUUAGGAGCUAGGAAAAAAGAGGCAGAAAGUGAAACUAGAGAUGCAGGCAGAAGCCCAAUCCUGCAGAAUCUUAUAGGCACAGUGAGGUUAAAAUGCACCUAUCUGGCAUCCAUCUUUUCAAAAUAUGUCCAGCUCCAUCUGCUUUUUCUUAAAGACAUCUUAUGAGGCAACUGUGCUAUAUGGAAAGAUUGAUAAACUGGAAGAUAGAAUGCUGUAUUUGUUCAUUUUGUGCUUCUGUAACAGAAUACCACAGCCUGGGGAACUUAUAAUAAACAGAAAGGUAUUGGCUCACAGUUCUGUAGACUAGGAAGUCCAAUAUUAAAGUGCUGACGUCUGUCAAGGGCCUUCUUGCUGCAUCAUAACAUGGUGGAAGAUCAAGGAGAGGGCGAGAGACAGCAAGAGGGGGCAAACCCACUCCCUCAAUAACAAACCUAUUCCCAUGAUAACAACAUUAGUCCAUCCAUGAGAGUGGAUCCCUCAUGACCUAAACCACCUCUUAGAAAUUCCACCUCCCAAUACUUUCAAAAUGGCAAUUAAAUUUCAACAUGAAUUUUGAAGAAGACAAACAUUUAAACCAUAGCAAGUCCCUAAAUCCAUUUCAGCAAAUAAUUAAAUUUCACCAACCUAGGUUUUCUUAUCUAUCAAAGGAAAUAAUAAUCCCUAUACACUACAAUAUAUAUUUCAGGCAUGGGAUGGGUACAAAGUGAGUGAGUAUGGGAAGGAACACUAUAAAAUGACAAGUGUUCUAUAAAUAUAAGGGCUAUGAUAUUGAGGUGCUGAUAGGCCCACACCCCAUGUUUUUGGUCAC